This 1554-nucleotide unclassified non-coding RNA is filed under the name Hevea brasiliensis (rubber tree). Lineage: Eukaryota; Viridiplantae; Streptophyta; Magnoliopsida; Malpighiales; Euphorbiaceae. The record is from RNAcentral.
UCAGCAUGACAUGGAGAACAUGUAUAUGUGGGUUUUCAAGGAAAGGCCUGAAAAUGCCUUGGGUAAGAUGCAGUUGAGGAGUUACAUGAAUGGGCACUCUCGUCAAGGGGAGCGCCCAUUUCCAUUCAUUGUUGAUAAGGGUUUUGUUCGGUCUCACAGGAUGCAGAGGAAGCAUUACAGGGGUCUCUCUAAUCCUCAAUGUAUUCAUGGUAUAGAAAUUGUGAGGUCACCCAAUCUCAUGAAUCUUGACGAAGAAGAGAGGAAGAGGUGGGUGGAUCUUACAGGCCGAGACAUAAAUUUCACAAUUCCUCCUGAAGCAAGUGAUUUUGUUUCCUGGAGGAACCUUCCAAACACAGACUUCGAGCUUGAGCGCGCCCUUCAUCCAUUAAAGAGUAAUGGAAAUUCACACCCAAGAAAAUUGCUUAAUGGUGCUGGUUUGAAUCUGUCUACUCAAUCAUCAGACCAUAGCAAUGGUGAGAGCAUGGACCUUUCUCCUGUCUCCCACAAGCGGAAAAAAGAUUAUUUGCCACGUGGAAAUCAUGAUGAAUGUUUGGGUAACAAUUCACAUGGUGACAGAGUUGACAUGAAUAUCCAUCCAGUUGAGCCAGCAUGGAUAAAUGAAUUCAGCGGGGUAAUGAAGAAUGUAUAUGGGCCUGUUACAGCAGCAAAAACAAUAUAUGAAGAUGAUGAAGCAUUCUUAAUCAUCAUCAGCCUGCCCUUUGCAGAUCUUCAGAGGGUGAAAGUCACUUGGAGGAACACUAAAUUACAUGGAAUUGUGAAGAUAUCUUGUGUAAGUACAGCCUGCAUGCCAUUUAUUAAGAGACAUGAUAGGACAUUUAAGCUAACAGAUCCAACACCAGAGCACUGCCCUCCAGGGGAAUUUAUUAGGGAAAUUCCCCUUCCAAACCGCAUUCCUGAAGAUGCUGAACUGGAAGCAUACCGCGAUGAGACAGGUACAAUGCUUGAAAUUAUUGUCCCCAAAUAUCGUGUAGGACCAGAAGAACAUGAAGUCCGUGUAUGCCUUCGCCCCCUCCUCGGAGGGAAUGGGCAUUUGUCGACCUGAAAGGGUAAUUUAUUUGAAGAUGUAAGGACGGUUAGAGUGGUUAGUGCUUCAUUGUUUACUAACCUCAUUCCAUAAAGGAAAUCUAUGAAAUGAUGAUAUUUGCAUUUUUUUUUUUUGGAUUACAUUGUUUUUGUCCAUACAUUUAUCCGUAGGUUAUGUGUUUGUAAAUCAUCUUUAGUCUUCAUUAGGUGAAUUAUUCUUGCCAAGGGAAAACAAUAAUUUUUUUUUUCUAGAGAAAAAGGAAUAUAAAUUUGCAUUGACUUGAAUGUGCACUGGAUAUCUUAAGGCAUGUUUAAUCAUUCAGUUAUUUGGAGUUAUGUAAAUGAUGGGGUAUUGACUUGUUAAAUUAAAUUUUGCCUUUGAUGAAGAUGCCAUUUGCUAGUGGUAUCAACUAGUAUUUUAGACAAUGUAGAUAUAAUUGUUGUACAAGUAAAGCUGCAUGUUUUAUUGAUCACCUACCCUUAUUUUUGGUUAAAUCAUGUAUGAUUAGG